AGGCCAUCUUUGAAGAAGUAAACAAGUACCAUACACUAAAGGGAUGACAGAACAACGAAACAAAAGAUUACAGCAAAGCUUUCUGCUUUCCUUUCUUGCUCUGAUACCCUCAAAAUUAUACUCUGUUCCUGGGAUUCCAGAGUCUUCUGCCACAACCAAGGCUUCCGAGGCGAUCCGGCAACAUCAGUCUUCAGCCGCUAAGCCAAGAAGAUCUGGGAAGGAGUCAAUCAGAGAGCCUUGGGCCAGAGUUCCAGGGGCUGUGGAAGUGGCUGCCAG
Molecule: long non-coding RNA, 276 nt
Organism: Homo sapiens (human)
Lineage: Eukaryota; Metazoa; Chordata; Mammalia; Primates; Hominidae
Product: long intergenic non-protein coding RNA 1695
Source: Ensembl